CCGCGACCCCAGGUCAGGCGGGACUACCCGCUGAGUUUAAGCAUAUCAAUAAGCGGGAGGAAAAGAAACUUACAAGGAUUCCCUUA
This 86-nucleotide ribosomal RNA is filed under the name Matricaria breviradiata. RNAcentral's name for it is "partial 26S ribosomal RNA". It matches the Rfam family "Eukaryotic large subunit ribosomal RNA", at positions 1 to 82 of the family's 3401-position model. The record is from RNAcentral. Lineage: Eukaryota; Viridiplantae; Streptophyta; Magnoliopsida; Asterales; Asteraceae.